GGCGCGGCGGUGGCGACUCCGGCGGCAGCCUCGGCGGUCUGGGCGGGGCGGGAAGCCCGCUUUCAACCCCGCGUACCCUCUGACCCCGGAAGUGCUUGCUGCGCAGGACCCCUUGAAAAAAAUGAGGACCCGUCUUUUUUAGGUCACAAGAUUGCGCCAACUCGCACACGGUAGUUUUUAAAAAACCCUUUUAACAGCCUAGCAUUGAAAAUAACGCUCCAAUGGACAGAAACUGUGAGUCCGGCACCGUUUUAAAAGGACCAUGUAUUUUAUUAACCCUAGCGGCACCGGCAAAUGUCUGGAAAUGUUAGUGUUGUGAAUGGGAGCGACACAUUAUUCUCUCUCCCUACAGAAGGGGUUUGAGCGCGGAGCGACACGGACAGCCCCGGCUGUAACUGCAGGCGGCAGCCGGGACGCCGCGGAUUUAAAACACAAAUUCACUUAGGCCCAGAGAGAUGAAGUGAGUAAUUCAAGGUCACACAGUGUCGAGGAUGGAAUCCAGACCUUCCGAUUUCCUUAUUGACCUGCACUAUCUUAUGGAUACUGAGUGAAUUCCACACCACCCGUUUUACAGAUGAAGCCACUGAGAUAUGGAGCAACUGACUAAAAUAGUCACCGCCCUACCCCGGGAGUCUCACACAUGACUCUUCUCCUCCCACUCCAGUGACCGCAGGUUAGUUAAGGGGGUUAAUAAGGUUGGGAAGGUGAGUCAGGCUUAGACUUUGGCAAUUGAACG
Ceratotherium simum simum (southern white rhinoceros) is the source of this 736-nucleotide non-coding RNA. The record is from RefSeq and is a predicted model, not a curated record. NCBI's taxonomy places the organism in Eukaryota, Metazoa, Chordata, Mammalia, Perissodactyla, Rhinocerotidae.